UUGCACGCUGCACCCCGGGCUUCUCUGAUAACUCGUAUGAAGAUGGAAGCCCCAAUGCACGUGCGAAAGCCAUGCGCCGUUCAGUGUUGCAGGCCAGCUCUGUGUUUCUCUUCAACGGCUGAUCUGUGUCAAAGCAACGGCUAGAUUU
Molecule: small nucleolar RNA, 148 nt
Organism: Magnolia sinica
Lineage: Eukaryota; Viridiplantae; Streptophyta; Magnoliopsida; Magnoliales; Magnoliaceae
Product: small nucleolar RNA snoR134
Exons: 1
Source: RefSeq, a predicted model, not a curated record